AUUGAACGCUGGCGGCAGGCCUAACACAUGCAAGUCGAACGGUAACAGGAAGAAGCUUGCUUCUUUGCUGACGAGUGGCGGACGGGUGAGUAAUGUCUGGGAAACUGCCUGAUGGAGGGGGAUAACUACUGGAAACGGUAGCUAAUACCGCAUAACGUCGCAAGACCAAAGAGGGGGACCUUCGGGCCUCUUGCCCGCGGAUGUGCCCAGAUGGGAUUAGCUAGGUGGUGGGGUAACGGCCCACCUAGGCGACGAUCCCUAGCUGGUCUGAGAGGAUGACCAGCCACACUGGAACUGAGACACGGUCCAGACUCCUACGGGAGGCAGCAGUGGGGAAUAUUGCACAAUGGGCGCAAGCCUGAUGCAGCCAUGCCGCGUGUAUGAAGAAGGCCUUCGGGUUGUAAAGUACUUUCAGCGGGGAGGAAGGGAGUCAAGUUAAUACCUUUGCUCAUUGACGUUACCCGCAGAAGAAGCACCGGCUAACUCCGUG
RNAcentral lists this ribosomal RNA (490 nucleotides) under uncultured bacterium. RNAcentral's name for it is "partial 16S ribosomal RNA". It matches the Rfam family "Bacterial small subunit ribosomal RNA", at positions 30 to 507 of the family's 1533-position model. The record is from RNAcentral.